Molecule: long non-coding RNA, 337 nt
Filed under: Gallus gallus (chicken)
Lineage: Eukaryota; Metazoa; Chordata; Aves; Galliformes; Phasianidae
Source: RNAcentral
GUGCAUAUUUCUGAGUGAACAAUGUUGGAAAGUUCAGAUUUCUAACAUCGCUCAGGGUCUUGACUCUCUCCAUCUGUGUGCUGAAAGGGUAAAGCAGCUCGAAGAGAAUCAGUCCCAAAGAAAAUAUAUCCACUUUGUGAGAAUAGGUGUUCCCACAGAUCUGUUCUGGACUCAUGUAGAGUUUGGUCCCUACUUGUCCUGUGUGUCUGGCGUAAGCUGGCAUUGGGGUAAGUACCAAUUCCUCCUCCUCAUCUUGGUCCAUAGCAGUUACCAGUCCAAAAUCCCCAACCUUUACUACAUCAUCCAUUGUGAAAAAUAUAUUAGAAGGCUGAGAAAA